Molecule: ribosomal RNA, 467 nt
Filed under: uncultured bacterium
Lineage: Bacteria
Description: bacterial SSU rRNA
Rfam family: Bacterial small subunit ribosomal RNA
Source: RNAcentral
GGACCCGCACAAGCAGCGGAGCAUGUGGUUUAAUUCGAAGCAACGCGAAGAACCUUACCAAGGCUUGACAUCCCCUUGACAGAUGCAGAGAUGUAUCCUCCUCUUUUGAGGCAAGGGAGACAGGUGGUGCAUGGUUGUCGUCAGCUCGUGUCGUGAGAUGUUGGGUUAAGUCCCGCAACGAGCGCAACCCUUAUCCUUAGUUGCCAGCACAAAAGGUGGGCACUCUAAGGAGACUGCCGGUGAUAAACCGGAGGAAGGUGGGGAUGACGUCAAAUCAUCAUGCCCCUUAUGUCUUGGGCUACACACGUGCUACAAUGGUCGGUACAACGGGCAGCUAUGGAGCGAUCCGGAGCAAAUCCCAAUAAACCGAUCCCAGUUCGGAUUGCAGGCUGCAACUCGCCUGCAUGAAGUCGGAGUUGCUAGUAAUCGCGAAUCAGAACGUCGCGGUGAAUGCGUUCCCGGGUCUU